Molecule: ribosomal RNA, 791 nt
Filed under: uncultured bacterium
Lineage: Bacteria
Description: bacterial SSU rRNA
Rfam family: Bacterial small subunit ribosomal RNA
Source: RNAcentral
CGGACGGGUGAGUAACGCGUGAGGAACCUGCCUUUCAGAGGGGGACAACAGUUGGAAACGACUGCUAAUACCGCAUAACAUAUGUUUGUCGCAUGGCAGAUAUAUCAAAGAUUUAUCGCUGAGAGAUGGCCUCGCGUCUGAUUAGCUGGUUGGUAGGGUAACGGCCUACCAAGGCGACGAUCAGUAGCCGGACUGAGAGGUUGGCCGGCCACAUUGGGACUGAGAUACGGCCCAGACUCCUACGGGAGGCAGCAGUGGGGAAUAUUGGGCAAUGGGCGCAAGCCUGACCCAGCAACGCCGCGUGAAGGAAGAAGGCUUUCGGGUUGUAAACUUCUUUUAAGAGGGAAGAGCAGAAGACGGUACCUCUUGAAUAAGCUCCGGCUAACUACGUGCCAGCAGCCGCGGUAAUACGUAGGGAGCGAGCGUUGUCCGGAUUUACUGGGUGUAAAGGGCGUGCAGCCGGGAGUACAAGUCAGAUGUGAAAUCCCGCGGCUCAACCGCGGAACUGCAUUUGAAACUGUAUUUCUUGAGUACUGGAGAGGCAGACGGAAUUCCUAGUGUAGCGGUGAAAUGCGUAGAUAUUAGGAGGAACACCAGUGGCGAAGGCGGUCUGCUGGACAGCAACUGACGGUGAGGCGCGAAAGCGUGGGGAGCAAACAGGAUUAGAUACCCUGGUAGUCCACGCUGUAAACGAUGGAUACUAGGUGUGCGGGGACUGACCCCCUGCGUGCCGCAGUUAACACAAUAAGUAUCCCACCUGGGGAGUACGAUCGCAAGGUUGAAACUCAAAG